RNAcentral lists this ribosomal RNA (429 nucleotides) under Chloroflexota bacterium. RNAcentral describes it as "Chloroflexi bacterium partial 16S ribosomal RNA". It matches the Rfam family "Bacterial small subunit ribosomal RNA", at positions 355 to 776 of the family's 1533-position model. Lineage: Bacteria; Bacillati; Chloroflexota. The record is from RNAcentral.
UAGGGAAUCUUCGGCAAUGGACGAAAGUCUGACCGAGCAACGCCGCGUGAGUGAAGAAGGUUUUCGGAUCGUAAAACUCUGUUGUUAGAGAAGAACAAGGACGUUAGUAACUGAACGUCCCCUGACGGUAUCUAACCAGAAAGCCACGGCUAACUACGUGCCAGCAGCCGCGGUAAUACGUAGGUGGCAAGCGUUGUCCGGAUUUAUUGGGCGUAAAGCGAGCGCAGGCGGUUUCUUAAGUCUGAUGUGAAAGCCCCCGGCUCAACCGGGGAGGGUCAUUGGAAACUGGGAGACUUGAGUGCAGAAGAGGAGAGGGGAAUUCCAUGUGUAGCGGUGAAAUGCGUAGAUAUAUGGAGGAACACCAGUGGCGAAGGCGGCUCUCUGGUCUGUAACUGACGCUGAGGAUCGAAAGCGUGGGGAGCAAACAGG